UCCGCCGCGCGCGUCAGAAACUUGAGGAAACCUGUCCCUAGUACGAGAGGACCGGGACGGACGAACCUCUGGUGUACCAGUUGUUCCACCAGGAGCACGGCUGGAUAGCUACGUUCGGACAGGAUAACCGCUGAAAGCAUCUAAGCGGGAAACCUAUUCCAAGACCAGGUUUCUUACCCUUUUAGAGGGAUAAGGUCACCCACAGACUAUGGGUUCAAUAGGCCAGACCUGCAAGCGUAGUAAUACGUUCAGGGAACUGGCACUAAUCGACCGAAAACUUACUAAUAA
RNAcentral lists this ribosomal RNA (288 nucleotides) under Mycobacteroides abscessus. RNAcentral describes it as "partial 23S ribosomal RNA". It matches the Rfam family "Bacterial large subunit ribosomal RNA", at positions 2641 to 2925 of the family's 2925-position model. The record is from RNAcentral. Lineage: Bacteria; Bacillati; Actinomycetota; Actinomycetes; Mycobacteriales; Mycobacteriaceae.